UUUCGGAUAAUGAUGGGGGAUCGAUUCACGGCGCCCCUUUUGCCUUUCCACGGCGCACAGGGGCGCCGCACCGCA
Aricia agestis (brown argus) is the source of this 75-nucleotide long non-coding RNA. RefSeq lists it as uncharacterized. The record is from RefSeq and is a predicted model, not a curated record. NCBI's taxonomy places the organism in Eukaryota, Metazoa, Arthropoda, Insecta, Lepidoptera, Lycaenidae. The transcript has 3 exons.